This 400-nucleotide unclassified non-coding RNA is filed under the name soil metagenome. Its description in RNAcentral is "partial contains 5.8S ribosomal RNA, internal transcribed spacer 2, and large subunit ribosomal RNA". The stretch from base 1 to 122 matches the Rfam family "5.8S ribosomal RNA", at positions 35 to 154 of the family's 154-position model. The record is from RNAcentral.
GAUGAAGAACGUAGCGAAAUGCGAUACUUGGUGUGAAUAGCAGAAUCCCGUGAACCAUCGAGUCUUUGAACGCAAGUUGCGCCUCAAGCCAUUAGGUUGAGGGCACGUCUGCCUGGGCGUCACAUAUCGUUGCCUGAUGCCAGUUUCCUCGUGAUGGGUGACUGUGCAGGGCGAAUGAUGGCUUCCCGUGAGCAUUGUUGCCUCAUGGUUGGUUGAAAAUUGAGUCCUUGGUAGGGAGCGCCGUGAUAGAUGGUGGUUGAGUGACGAACGAGACCCAAUCAUGUGAGACCCCUACCGAAUUUGGCCUUCAUGACCCACAUGCGUCUUUGGAACGCUCAUGACGAGACCUCAGGUCAGGCGGGGCUACCCGCUGAGUUUAAGCAUAUCAAUAAGCGGAGGA